AACGAACGCUGGCGGCAGGCUUAACACAUGCAAGUCGAACGUGAAGCCACCUUCGGGUGGUGGAAAGUGGCAGACGGGUGAGUAACGCGUGGGAAUCUACCUAAUGGUACGGAAUAACUCAGGGAAACUUGAGCUAAUACCGUAUGUGCCCGCAAGGGGAAAGAUUUAUCGCCAUUAGAUGAGCCCGCGUCGGAUUAGCUAGUUGGUGGGGUAAUGGCCCACCAAGGCGACGAUCCGUAGCUGGUCUGAGAGGAUGAUCAGCCACACUGGGACUGAGACACGGCCCAGACUCCUACGGGAGGCAGCAGUGGGGAAUAUUGGACAAUGGGCGAAAGCCUGAUCCAGCCAUGCCGCGUGAGUGAUGAAGGCCCUAGGGUUGUAAAGCUCUUUCGACGGGGACGAUAAUGACGGUACCCGUAGAAGAAGCCCCGGCUAACUUCGUGCCAGCCGCCGCGGUAA
This 459-nucleotide ribosomal RNA is filed under the name uncultured bacterium. RNAcentral describes it as "partial 16S ribosomal RNA". It matches the Rfam family "Bacterial small subunit ribosomal RNA", at positions 29 to 523 of the family's 1533-position model. The record is from RNAcentral.